This 467-nucleotide ribosomal RNA is filed under the name uncultured bacterium. Its description in RNAcentral is "partial 16S ribosomal RNA". It matches the Rfam family "Bacterial small subunit ribosomal RNA", at positions 28 to 506 of the family's 1533-position model. The record is from RNAcentral.
GACGAACGCUGGCGGCGUGCUUAACACAUGCAAGUCGAACGGAAAGGCCCUGCUUUUGUGGGGUGCUCGAGUGGCGAACGGGUGAGUAACACGUGAGUAACCUGCCCUUGACUUUGGGAUAACUUCAGGAAACUGGGGCUAAUACCGGAUAGGAGCUCCUGCUGCAUGGUGGGGGUUGGAAAGUUUCGGCGGUUGGGGAUGGACUCGCGGCUUAUCAGCUUGUUGGUGGGGUAGUGGCUUACCAAGGCUUUGACGGGUAGCCGGCCUGAGAGGGUGACCGGCCACAUGGGGACUGAGAUACGGCCCAGACGCAUACGGGAGGCAGCAGGGGGGAAUAUGGCACAAGGGGCGGAAGCAUGAGGCAGCAACGCCGCGUGCGGGAGGACGGCCUUCGGGUUGGAAACCGCUUUCGCCUGUGACGAAGCGUGAGGGACGGUAAUGGGUAAAGAAGCACCGGCGAACUACGG